CCUCACCAUCUACAAACUUAAAAUGCAAGGUGCAAUUUCACUGUUCCUAGUACACCAUUUUUUGUUUGUUGCAGAUGCUUGAUUGUUGGGCCUAUUUCUUAUUUGGGGCCCUUUGGUUAUAUGAUAGGUUACUGUGUAGGGUUAGGAAUGUUCAUGCCCUCCUUGCCUCUUCACGUGUUUUCUGGCCGCCGCCGUCACCACUGAAGGAGCUGGAGUAGGAGCUUCCCCCUCUCUAUUUGCUAUCCUAGCGAAUGCAUGUGCCCCAUCUGCUAGAGCCAGCUUUGCUUCGUCCUUCCUUCCCUUAUCUCACGGCUGGAUUUUCGCUAGCAGCUGGAAGCUAUACCCCUCGAAAGUUCACCUAUCUCCCUGCACGAUUCAAGCCUCCAUCAUUGAUCUAUCAUCUAUGACUUCGCUGCAUCUUCCUCACAUGCCUUUCCUUCAGCCACCGAUGCACAUCCCUCUUCUAGCUCUACGAUUCGUCCUUCACCUAGCCUUUUGCGUGAGAUGUACGCAUAUCUUCCCCAUUUUCUGUGGUUGUUUGAGCUACUACUAGAUUAAAAAAUCUAGCUACUCAAGGUGCUUUCCAGUUGUUUGAUUCGAAAGCUUCAAGAUCUUGCUGGAAUCCCUCUGGUUUAUUUGCUUUCCUUGGUAUCUUCAUCCUUAGGCAGCAGUAUCAAGUGAUAGAUUCAAAUGUUUGGGAAGAGAACAAAAUUGCAUUGGGUUACCAAAUAAAUAAGAGCUCUCUAAAACUCCAAACUUUAAACUUCAAUAAGCAAGUUGAAGACCUGAUAUUAAGGUUGCUUAUUGAAAACAAGGAUUUAUUCUCUAUGGGUUGUGAAAGUCCAAAGCAAGUAGAGACCAGAAUGUUGUAAAAGCCUGAGCACAUGAAUAGGCGAUGAAGAAGAACUCUGCUGAUAUUGAAAUGACUUUGGGGAAAGGGAUUUUCUGAUAGAGAGCAUGUUUAGACUUGAAGUCCAGAUUAGAACAUAAGAAAUGGAUUUGAUAGCCAAUAGGUGCAUUGGUGCUCAUGAUAGUGGGAGAGAAUUUGUGACCAACUUGGUUGGAAGUGCAAUUCCUGGUUCUAAAAGCCCAAGAUGUAAGGCAAGAAUGGCAACGUCUCAGAUAAAAGGUGGCUAUGAUUUACAUACGACCUGAUACUAUGAGGUUUGAUGGGGUCGUUGUGUGCUUGUACUGAUCACUGACUCUCAUGUUUUAUGAAUUCAACUAACAAAAGAUGGUUUCACUUAGCCUCUUCUACUGAAUGUCCUUUAUUAAGGGAGUAACACGAAUCUGAGCUGCAUUUGUUUAGAGGCAGGCAAGUGAUCCAGCAUGUUUGAGAAAUGAGGCUCAACAAUGGGUUUUGGAUUAGGCUCUAAUGUUACUAUGGCUGAACUUUAUUUAUAUUUGGAGUAGUAGUUGUUAAAUCAAUUAGUCACAUGUAAGUUAUUGGAGUAAUUUUAAAUUGGACAUUUUCCUGGGA
Long non-coding RNA from Lotus japonicus, 1480 nucleotides. RefSeq lists it as uncharacterized. The transcript is spliced from 7 exons. The record is from RefSeq and is a predicted model, not a curated record. NCBI's taxonomy places the organism in Eukaryota, Viridiplantae, Streptophyta, Magnoliopsida, Fabales, Fabaceae.